UCUUAUUUUAAACUCAAAAUGUGUGUGUUCAUGCAGGAGUGAGUGUGUGUACGUGUGUUUUUGUGUGGCGUAUGACUGCAUUUACUGUAUUCAUUUUAAGAGUAAUUAUGUGUUAAACAUGUGAGUGUACGCAUCAUGUGUGUGCAUGCGUGUGCAUGCGUGUGCAUGUGUGUGUGUGUGUGUGGUGUGGUGUGGUGUGUGCAUCUGUCAGUCAAGCUGCAUUCAGUGACUCGGGAUAUUAUUUUACUCGUACAAAGGCCUUGCUUUGUCCUUGUGCGUGGACAUAAAUCACCUUAAAAAAUAUGCUCCACCAAAUGGCAUAACAAUCCAUUUUUAAAAAGGCCACAUGCUUUCAGAACACAGCAGAACAGAACCUAACCUGGGGAACCAACAAUGUCUGGAAAAUCGAUCAUUUGUGAACAGGCAUGUUAGUGUCUGGGAUAAUUUCUGCAUAUUGACAGUUGGGUCAAAAAUCUUCAGGGUUGUUCUAAUUGUUGGGAAGAAUAAUCUGUGCCUUAUACUCUUCUCUUUUCCAUCAGUCCGUCUCUUUCUUCGCCACUAAUCAUAGAGCUUCAGUUGGAGCUGGUGCUUUGUGGGGAGGAGCCUGCAACAACAGAGAUCUGGGCACACAGAGCAGCUUUAAUUAGAUGGGGCCUUGUGCCAUGUGCCAUCACGGCAUGUGUGAAAAUGAAUGUGUGCCUGUAUGUCGUGCAGCUUUGUCUUUAUCUGGGGAUGCUUUUUUGUAUAUAUGCCUGUUUAGCUUUUCCUUUCUUUUUUACAUAAAAAUUCUUAUUAUUUGCACACUGAAUAGAAAGCAACUGCACAUUUCUACGUUCUGGAGAAGACAUUUUUGCUAUGCUUGUGCCCAUGGACCUUAAACCUUAAUGUCCUCCCUGAGGCGCCACCCUCGAGCGUCGGCCAACUGCUUUGGCAUCAGAUAAUGUAAAUGAAGACAAACCAGUUUCUUUUGUAGUCAAACAGCCAGGAUCUUCUUUUAAUUUAAAAAUGUAUUUCGGUCAUUGCGGGGGGUGCUGUUUGAAGCCAUCACACUCCCAUAGAGCCACUCAGUGGGCAUUGCAUAUUGACCGUAGGGAUGGGCGCCAGACCGGAGAAAGGAAGACUGGAGCCAUUGCCAGUAUGAACUGGUUUGACAACUGGUGGAAUUGUGUUUUAAUUGGUGCAUCUUGCUGAUUGUUUGACAUGAAGGGUUUUUGAUAUACACCAAACCAAUCAAUGGGUUUAGUGGACAAAGGGAGGUUUCCAAUUGGUUGAGAGGAUUUUAGGCGGGAUACAGGCAACCUGGUGACAUCAUAAACUGAGAGGUCAGAACAUUUAAAGGAUGCUGAGAGCUGAAGGAUAAUUAGAAGAGCUCAAGCCAGAAGACUAACAUUUUUGUUCCAUGGAGUUAACAGUUGUUUGAUUUGUAUCACUUAGAAUAUGUUACGUGGCAUAGAUUUUUACUCAGUUUGUUAUUUGUGAUAUAAUACAAUUUUAAAAUCUAUACAUUUAUGUUUGUUAACAUUUUUCCUAUCUGUCUUUAGGUGAGAUAUUGGCCCAUGUUUCUUGGCCUGGGGUUUAAGAGGAUGGGUAGCCUUAGGGGUUGAUUGUUAUCUUUGGUUAUCUAGCUGUAUGAGUGAUGUACAUUCUUCAUAAAGCUAGAUAACCGAAAGUAACAAGAAUCCCAUUACACUCCUGGAAAGGCAUCAAGACCCAAAGUGACUCCUUUCAUCAAAAAUCAAAAAAAUACACAAGAAGUUUAACUUGAGAAAAAAUGGACUGCAUUUUAAAGGAGAAUGGAUCGUUCAUCAAAUAAAGGGUACCUUGCCACAUAGAGAAAAGAUGGCAAAAGAAGACUGAAAACAGAAGAGGAGGAGGGGUUGCUGUUGAUUGUGCCCUCCCUCUCUCAUCGCCCUCUUCUGCAUCGCCUCUUCCCACCUCCUCCUCUUCUCUUUCUCCUCCACUCCAUCCUCAGCAGACUGCCCCUUUUUCCUGUACAGCGAAAUGCAGCCCACGCCACCAUCUUAGAGCAACGCUGGCAUAAAAUGGAAGUGGAAAGACCAGUCACUGCAGAUAAACGUUGGUGGCCACGGGGUUCCAAAAUGGACAGAACACACAAUGGGGAGACGGCAGGACUCGUCUUUCACGGCUUGCUGCCAUUCAGCUGCUGUAAA
Molecule: long non-coding RNA, 2171 nt
Organism: Poecilia latipinna (sailfin molly)
Lineage: Eukaryota; Metazoa; Chordata; Actinopteri; Cyprinodontiformes; Poeciliidae
Exons: 3
Source: RefSeq, a predicted model, not a curated record